GAUGAAGAACGUAGCGAAAUGCGAUAAGUAAUGUGAAUUGCAGAAUUCAGUGAAUCAUCGAAUCUUUGAACGCACAUUGCGCCCCCUGGUAUUCCGGGGGGCAUGCCUGUUCGAGCGUCAUUUCACCACUCAAGCCUCGCUUGGUAUUGGGCAACGCGGUCCGCCGCGUGCCUCAAAUCGACCGGCUGGGUCUUCUGUCCCCUAAGCGUUGUGGAAACUUUCGCUAAAGGGUGUUCGGGAGGCUACGCCGUAAAACAACCCCAUUUCUAAGGUUGACCUCGGAUCAGGUAGGGAUACCCGCUGAACUUAAGCAAAUCAAUAAGCGGAGGA
RNAcentral lists this unclassified non-coding RNA (330 nucleotides) under soil metagenome. Its description in RNAcentral is "partial contains 5.8S ribosomal RNA, internal transcribed spacer 2, and large subunit ribosomal RNA". The stretch from base 1 to 120 matches the Rfam family "5.8S ribosomal RNA", at positions 35 to 154 of the family's 154-position model. The record is from RNAcentral.